UAAGUGCCGUGAUUACAGGCUUUAGCCAUCUCACUUGACCAGAAAAUGAGUCUUUAAGAUAGCAAUAACAUAUAACAAGUGAUGGCUGCUUUUUCCUAGAGUCUUUGCCCCCUGGCUCUCUGCUAAUAACCCUGUAAACCUUACCCUGUGAGCUCGUUCAGCUCCGUACUACUACAUAUGCCAUGUCUCACAUUGUCUCUUUCUGAAUAGCAUGACCAUAUAAUGUAUUAUCCAUGAUGAGAUAAUUUUGAGAGUAAAGGCACUUUCUUAUUAAGCAAACUUGGACAAUAGACAUAAACCUGGACUAUUCUGGGCAAACUGGAAUAUGAGGUCUUCUGUUUUUGAAGAUAUGGACAAGGAUUGUAUCAAGGUUUUCAUUGAUCCAAUUUUACAAAAGCCAGUAGUUCUGAAUUUGUAACUCCCAUGGGGAGGCAAUCAAGUUCGGGUUUUAAUACCUGAAUCACAGGCUUUGCAAAAGGCUUGUGAUUCCUGCUGCAUUAUCAGGAGUUCUGAAAAUUUGCCAUUGGUCAAAACCGGCUCAGUAUCCAGGUUACUGGCAACAAGAAUGCCCUACUGAGUGUGAUGCUGCACAUUGAAUGCAGAUUUUUUUUUUCCUCAGAUGAUUACACACACUUUGCUUCACUUUCAUAUCCAGAGCUGCUUAGACUGAUUUCUCCAAAAUGCACAGGCAUUUUCAUGCUGAGGAUAAAGGACACUUUUCCAUUCCUACAUCCUUUCUCAUAGGAUUGCUGAGAACAUUGCUGGUAUUCAAAACUAGCUGACUGAAUGAUGAAUAACAGAAGUUGGCUGGAAUUAACAUUUCCUACGGUGAACUUUGUAAAAUGUCAGUCAUUCAAGAUAUUCAGUGGAAAAAUGGUUCCAUAAGUUUAGCUUGAGAAAAACUCUAAUAUUACAUUUUUUUCCUGAAGAUUCAGAUUGAUGUAUGGAAUCUGCAGUAAAAGAUUUUGUUGUACUGGUUGUUUUCUAUAACACUUGAUGGAGGAAAGUGUGUUGUGUGUGUCAAACGUAUUAUCAUCCUCUAGAAUUUGUGUUCUAUGGAGCAAAGAGAAAGUGGUUUAGAGACACUGGUUUUGAUUACUAACAGGAACUGAAAAGGUGUGGACACAUCACUUCAUACAUCUCUAGUGCAGACAGCUAUAAUUUCUUUUGAUAUUUUAGCACAAUGAUGUAGGAGGGAAUUAGUGUACAUUCUUAAAAAGCAGCUUUUUCUUCUUUGUCUCAUCUUGACAUAGGGAACAUGGUAAUUGAAAGAAAUGGAGACAAUGAUGUCAGUAAUAAGGAAGGCAUGCAUUUAUAUCCAUGCUACAAAGCCCUAACAUGAAUUUCUCCUGUCACUUUUAUUAUUUUUAAGAAGACUGAGAUUCACUUGGUGAUCCUGGGAAGAGUGAAUUGUAUUGUAGACCCAGCAUGAAUGACCUUCUCAGGAAGCAUCUUUAGUGGUUUUAAAGUCUUGACCUUUUAAAAGCCAAUUAAGCUCUAUUGGAAAGAAGGAAUAGUGUAAUCAUCCUUUGUAAUAAAGAAUGAAAAGUUUCCAGAGAUAAGGUAGAGGAAGCACUGGGAAGUUUUCACAAAUGGGCAUGUCGUAAUUCAGAGGUCUAUGUCCACUGGAAGCCAUCAAGCUCUCUUGACUGAGAAAGGGAGUAGAAGGCACUACUUUGCUUUGGAAUUGAGGGCAGGAUGUGGAGGCCACAUUGGACAUAACUCCUAGGGAGACUUCGGUGGAUAACUGUGUUGAGGAUGAAAAUUGGAGUUGGAGUACUGAGCAGAUUUCCAUGCACUCAGCAUCAAAAG
Molecule: long non-coding RNA, 1812 nt
Filed under: Macaca mulatta (Rhesus monkey)
Lineage: Eukaryota; Metazoa; Chordata; Mammalia; Primates; Cercopithecidae
Description: lncRNA (ENSMMUG00000056852.1)
Source: RNAcentral